Molecule: unclassified non-coding RNA, 450 nt
Filed under: Hevea brasiliensis (rubber tree)
Lineage: Eukaryota; Viridiplantae; Streptophyta; Magnoliopsida; Malpighiales; Euphorbiaceae
Source: RNAcentral
CUCGGUGAUUUCCUGCACCAACUUCUGGUCAGCAGCAUCCAGUGAUGGACCUUUAGGAGGCCUGGGUGGCUUGGGAGCCUUUCUUGAGUUCUUUUUCUUCUUUUUCUCUUCCAGAAGCUUCUUAUUCACAAAUGGAAUUUGCUGUUGACCCUCUUUUCCUUCUGAAUUCUUGUCUAGCAAGAACUCCACAUUCUCGUCAGCAUCCUCACCAAAUUUUGAAGAAUUCCCCAAUCCAUCAAAACCUAAAGGCCCACUCCAAACACUAUUUAAAACUUUCUUGGUUUGUUUAUUUGCUAAAACAAGAUCAUUUGUUCCAUCCUCUUCACUAGUUGUCCCUCCACUUUCAAGAUCUACUUCAGGCUCUCUUUCUCUGGAAACCAAACGAUCCAUCAUACCAGGCAAAUCUCUAUAACUCAGUUCCCACCCAUUUAUAUGUUGAAGGUUCUUUAA